This 158-nucleotide ribosomal RNA is filed under the name Amphithalea ericifolia. RNAcentral's name for it is "5.8S ribosomal RNA". It matches the Rfam family "5.8S ribosomal RNA". From Rfam's summary of the family: 5.8S ribosomal RNA (5.8S rRNA) is a component of the large subunit of the eukaryotic ribosome. It is transcribed by RNA polymerase I as part of the 45S precursor that also contains 18S and 28S rRNA. Lineage: Eukaryota; Viridiplantae; Streptophyta; Magnoliopsida; Fabales; Fabaceae. The record is from RNAcentral. RNAcentral also lists the same sequence under 5 other names.
GACUCUCGGCAACGGAUAUCUCGGCUCUUGCAUCGAUGAAGAACGUAGCGAAAUGCGAUACUUGGUGUGAAUUGCAGAAUCCCGUGAACCAUCGAGUCUUUGAACGCAAGUUGCGCCCGAAGCCUUUAGGCCGAGGGCACGCCUGCCUGGGUGUCGCA